This 844-nucleotide long non-coding RNA is filed under the name Vulpes vulpes (red fox). RNAcentral's name for it is "lncRNA (ENSVVUG00000021541.1)". Lineage: Eukaryota; Metazoa; Chordata; Mammalia; Carnivora; Canidae. The record is from RNAcentral.
ACCAACUCGUUCUAAAAAAAUAAUUUUUCUCUUAUGUUGGACUUGUGAUCAAGCUAAUGAAUGUCCUUUGAUUUUAGUAAUAACAAGAGGUAAAGAAGUAAAUUUGGAAUUUCAAAUGCCUAACUCAGAGUGAAGCGCACAUGCAGGAUACAAAUAAAUACAAAUACAUGUAUUUGAAUGGCAUGGCCCUCUAAAAGAGCAAAAGGAGCCAGCAGAAAAAGCCAUUGAAUCAGCCAACGAGGCCCAGCAGGAAGGAGCUAAUCCAGAGCAAGAAAUCCAGUAAAUAGAAUUUGAUGGCAGAGUCCCAAAACCAGUUGGCUGAAGAGGAGGGUGGCUUGUUGGUGUGGGAGAUGAUGCUGACAUUCUCACGGUGCAGGAACUAGAGGAAGCAGAAGUAUUCAGAUCUCUUCAGGUGCUGACCAGGUUGUCAAGAACCUCUUUCAGGAUUGAGGAGAAGGAGAUUUCCUGCAAGUCGAACUGGUGAUGGUGAAGAUGACUCUAAGACAGACCAGGUAAUCAUCAAACACAUUGUUGAAAUAAAUGAAAUUGGCUUAAAUGAACAUCAGGACCAAAAGAAGUGGAAAAAGAAGAAGCAGGAUACUGUGGCUUCAGGAGUGAAAAAGGGGUGGAGCGUUUCUGCUCUGUCUCUGUGGCAAUGAGGAUGAGUGAAUUAUUUUCAAAUAAUCAUUAUUUAUCUUUGUAGUGUCAUCAUGCUGUUUCCUCUCCCUUUUAUGUAGACCUGAGCCAUUGGUAUUGUAUCUAGCAUUGCAUUUGAUAGGGAAAAUAAGGAGAAGGAAUCCCAAAUGUUCAGAAAUUAGAUCGAAUAAAUUGAAAAUGGGGACCA